This 75-nucleotide transfer RNA is filed under the name Paraplagusia japonica (black cow-tongue). RNAcentral describes it as "tRNA-Lys". It matches the Rfam family "tRNA". From Rfam's summary of the family: Transfer RNA (tRNA) molecules are approximately 80 nucleotides in length. Their secondary structure includes four short double-helical elements and three loops (D, anti-codon, and T loops). Lineage: Eukaryota; Metazoa; Chordata; Actinopteri; Pleuronectiformes; Cynoglossidae. The record is from RNAcentral.
CACUAGGAAGCUAAAUUGGUAUAAAGCAUUAGCCUUUUAAGCUAAGGAUUGGUGGCUACCUCCCACCCCUAGUGG